UAAUAUCUUCAAGGCGCAUCGUAAA
RNAcentral lists this microRNA (25 nucleotides) under Ciona intestinalis (vase tunicate). RNAcentral describes it as "cin-miR-5603-3p". The record is from miRBase by way of RNAcentral. Lineage: Eukaryota; Metazoa; Chordata; Ascidiacea; Phlebobranchia; Cionidae.